UACGUAGGGUGCGAGCGUUGUCCGGAAUUACUGGGCGUAAAGAGCUCGUAGGUGGUUUGUCGCGUUGUUCGUGAAAACCUGAGGCUUAACCUUGGGCGUGCGGGCGAUACGGGCAGACUGGAGUACUGCAGGGGAGACUGGAAUUCCUGGUGUAGCGGUGGAAUGCGCAGAUAUCAGGAGGAACACCGGUGGCGAAGGCGGUUCUCUGGGCAUUACCUGACGCUGAGGAGCGAAAGUGUGGGGAGCGAACAGG
Molecule: ribosomal RNA, 253 nt
Filed under: uncultured bacterium
Lineage: Bacteria
Description: partial 16S ribosomal RNA
Rfam family: Bacterial small subunit ribosomal RNA
Source: RNAcentral